CAAGUAGCUAGGGUCACAGGCGCCAGCCACCACUCCCCGCUAAUUUUGUAUUUUUAGUAGAGACAGGGUUUGCCAUGUUGGUCAGGCUGGUCUCGAACUCCUGACCUCAAGUGAUCCACCCGCCUUCACCUCCCAAAGUGCUGGAGGUUCAGGAUCUCUAAAUGAGAGGUAAACAAACUGAAGCAGGAGGCCAGAUCAAGGAGAUGCCCACCAUGAUGUCAGGAGGUGAGUUGGGAAAGGGCCUCAGGAGAUAGGGAUUCUUGCGUGGCCCCCAAAGGGGGUAGUGGGGUAGGGAAUAAGCUUCCUCCUACCCUAAGCACCAAUAAAUUCAAAACUUUAUUUAUGUAUUUAUCUAUUUAUGGUAAAAAUAUAACAUAAAACUCACUAUCUUAAAGUGUACAGUAGUGUUAAGUAUAUUUGCAUCAUCAUGCCACAGAUCUCCAGAAGUUUUCAUCUUGCAAAUGGAAACUCUGUACUCAUCAAACAACUCCCCAUUUUCCUCUCUCCAUAUCCCCCCACUAACUGCCAUUCUACUUUCUGUUUCUAUCAGUUUAACUACUUUAGAUACCUCGUAUACGUGGAAUCAUAAAGCAUUUAUCUGCAUUAUUUUACUUAGCUUAAUGUCCUCCAGUUUCAUUCAUGUUAUAGUGUAUGAUAGGAUUUUCUUAUUUUGAAGGACUGAAUAAUAUUCCAUUGUAUGUAUAUAUCACAUUUGCUUUAUCAUUUUUUCCAUCACUGAACAUUUAGGUUCCAUCCACCUCUUGGCUAUUGUGAAUAAUACUGCAAGCGACAUAGAUGUGCAAAUAUCUCUGUGAGAUCUUGUUUUCAGUUCUUUUGGAUAUAUAUCAAGGAAUGGGAUUGCUGGUCAUAUAGUUGCUGGUAAUUCUAUUUUUAAUUUUUUGAGGAACCUCCAUUCUGUUUUCCAUGGGCUCUACCAUUUUACAUUCCACAAACAGUGCACAAGUGUUUUAAUUUCUUUAUGUCUUUACCAGCAAGCACUUGUUAUACAGUCUCCCUUCUUUCUUUUCAUAGUGGGCAUCCUAAUGGGAGUGAGGUGAUAUCUCCUUGUGGUUUUCAGUUGCAUUUUUCUGAUGAUUAGUAAUGCGAACAUCUUUUCAUGUGCUUGUUGGCCAUUUGUAUAUCACUUUUGGAGACAUGUCUGUUCAAGUACUUUGCCCGUUUUUUAAUUGGGUUAUUUGAUUUUUGUUGUUGAGUUGAGGGAAUUCUUUAUAUAUUCUAGAUAUUAGUCCCUUCUCAGAUGUAUUAUAUGAGCAUAUUUUCUUCAAUUCCAUAAGUUGCCUUUUCACUAUAUUGAUUGUAUCUUUUGGUGCACAAAAGUUUUUAAGUUUGAUAUAAUUCCAUUUGUCUACUUUUGCUUUUUGUUGCCUAUGCAUUUAGUGUCAUACCAAGAAAUCAUUGGAAAUAUGUUUUUUCAUUUGUUUAAGCCUGUAGGAGGAAAUACGGUUUGAGUGAACUUUAACAUCUUGGAAAAGUAAGCCUUGGUCAAGCUUACAGACAAGAGACUAGGCUGGUUAUUCAUCCUGUGAAACAGCCCUACAAAUUUACCUACACCAUGGAAUCCAAGAUCCCACUGAUAAUGUGAACUUACUCCUUUUUGUUUGUCUUCUCCCUUCUAAUGUUAAUUUUUUUAACUGCAGGAAAAAUAACAAAAUAACAGAAUUCUUCUUUUAUAAGAUAGAUUUGGGAGCAUGUACUGAUCUUUUGAGUGAGGUGGAGAGGUCAAAAUAAAAAUACUAAAAUGUGAAUAAAACUUUGAGACUUAGAUGGAGACCUAGUUAAACCUUUUCUUCAAAUGCCAUCAAUGCCAAAGAGCAGCAGUUGUUUUACUAAUUCAUUCACCAAAAGUGAUUAUCAAACGUCUACUAUGUUCUGGGCACUAACUAGCCAAGGCAAUAUAGGUGUGUAUAAGAGGCAAGUCUCUGCUGUCUGUGAGUCUAUGCAGAAUCUCGUCUUCCGUUAGAAGCAUCAACAAACAUGUAUUGCCUGCCCUCCCUCUGCUAGAAGUUUGGGGAGACAUGUUAUGGACUAAAUGUUUGUGUCCCCCAAAAUGUACAUGUUGAAGCCUUAACGCCCAAUGUGAUGGUAUUUGGAAGUGAGGCUUUUGGGAGGUAAUUAGAUAUAAAUGAGGUCAUGAAGGUGUGGUCCCCAUGAUGGGAUUAGUGGCCUUAUAAGAAAAGAGACAAGAGAGGUUCUUCUCUUUUUCUGCCACAUGAGGACACAGUAAGAAGGCAGCUAUCUACAAGCCAAGAAGAGGGUCCUCACUAGGAACUGAAGCCUGCUGGACCUUGAUUUUGAAAUUUCCAGGCUUCAGAGCUGGGAUUCCUGUGUUUAAGCCACCACCCAGUCUAUGGUAUUUUGUAUGGCAGCCGAAACAGACUAAUACAAGGCAUAAGGGACAGUGAGAUGCUGUUCAUCCUCUCAAGGGUUCGUGAACUUGUUACCGUGGCCUCCGCAGUCCCUGUGUUCACUUAUCUUUGCUAAGGGCAAAUCACUGAUGAGAUGGACGCAUUUUAUAACUGGAGAAUAAAAGGGAUGAGGCCCUACAGGCUGAGGGUUACAACCAGGUGUCUGAAGGAGUCAGUGUCCCAAAGAGUGAGAAUAGUGGAGUGUGUAAGUGGAGAAUAACCAGGUAGGUGCUUAAAAGUGAACCUGUGUUGACUGUAUUCACUUAUUUCAUAAGACAACUUUUGGAGGCCAGACACACCACCUUUAAAAAGUAAUUGUAUAAGUGUCCUAGUGCUGUGCAUGAAGUCCCAUAAACUGGGUGCUUUUUAAACACCCAGUUGUUUUUACAAUAGAAGUUUAUUUUCCCACAGUUCUGGAGGCUGGAAGUCCAAAAUCAAGGUGUCAUCAAGCCUAUGCUUCAUUUGAAAACUAGAGGGGAGAAUCCUUUCUUGCCUCUUUUAGCUUCUGGUGUUUGGUGGUAAUCCUUGGUGUUUCUUGGCUUGUAGAUGCUUCACUCCCAUCCCUGCCUCCAAAGUCAUAUCGUCAUCCUCUCCCUGUGUGUUUCUCCUUCCUUUUUUCUUUUUUUUUUUUCUUUUUUUGAGACAGGAUAGCACGCUGUUGCUCAGGCUGGAGUGCAGUGGCAUGAUCAUAGCUCACUGCAACCUUGACUUCCUGGGCUCAGGUGAUCCUCCUGCCUCAGCCUCCCAAGUAGCUGGGACUACAGGCAUGCACCACCAUGCCUGGCAAAUUAAAAAAAGAUUUUUUUUUUUUGGUAGAGACGGGGUCUUGUUAUGUUGCCCAGGCUGGUCUCGAACUGCUGGGCUCAAUCAGUCCUCCUGCCUUGGCCUCCCAAAGUGCUGAGAUUACUGGUGUGAGCCACCAUGCCUUGCCUCUGCUUCCUCUUAUAAGGACAUCAGUCAUACCAGGUUAAAGGCUCACUCUACUCCACUGUGACCUCAUCUCAAAUAAACUAAUUACAUCUGCAACAACAUGAUUUCCAAGUAAGGUCACAUUCUGUGGUACUGGGUAUUAGGACUUUGUUGUAGUCAGGGUUCUCCAGAGAAACAGAGCCAAUAGGAUGGUUCCGUCUCUAUAGAUAGAAAUAAAUUUAUUAUAAGGAGUUGGCUCACAUGAUUAUGGAGGCUGGAAAGUCCCAAGAUCUGCAUAGUGAAUCAACAAGCUGGAGACCCAGUGGUUUAGUUCCAGGCUAUGUCCAAAGACCUGAGAUCCAGGAGAGCUAAUGGUAUAGUUUCAGUCUGAAGUCCAGCAGGCUUGAGACCCAGGGAGAGCUGAUGUUUCAGUUCAAGUACAAAGACAGGAAAAAAUUAAUGUCCCAGCUCAAAGGCAGUCAAGGAGAAACUCUCUCUUACUCAAGGGAGAAUGAGCUUUUUAUUCUAUUUAGACCUUCAAUGAUUGGAUGAGGGCCACCCACAUUAGGGAGGGUAAUCUGGUUUACUCUGUCUACCAAUAUAAGUGUUACUCUCAUCCAAAAACACUCUCACACAAACCCCCAGGAUAAUGUUUGAUUAAAUAUCUGGGCACCCCAUGACCCAGUUAAGUUGACACGUAAAAUUAACCAUCACACUUUAAAAUAUCUUUUUGGGAAGCACAAUUCAACCCAUAAAAGUAAUAAUCAUGCCUAGAGAACUUUUUUAGUUGAAGAGAUAGAAAGUUUAAUUCAAAUCUGUACCUGUUGCUUUGUACUGUUAUUUGAUAGGGGUCUUACCCCACUCCUAUCCAUCAAGGCUGGCAGAGGCUAUUUUCCAGGAUUUUAGGGUUGCUGGCAGCUGGGCAGUGACUCAGGAGAGUUGUGAGUGGGGACAGAAAGGAAGGAAGUAUGCCAAACAGUGCUAAAAAAUAUCCAAAGCUAAGAAAUGUGUAAUUAGCCCUGACCUCCUUUGCCCUUCCUCCUUACUAAAGCAGAGUGGGUGAAAUGGCUCAUGGGUUAUUAAUUGCCCUCUGCUGGUCACUUUACAGGCAUGGCUUCCCAUUUGCUUACUUUAUUUUCUAGGGAUGUCAGCAAAUUACCACAAACUUGAUGACUUAAAGCAACAGUAAUAUAUUGUCUCAUAGUUCUGGAAGUUAGAAGUCUAAAAUCAAGGUGUCACAGGGUCCAUGCUCCAUCUGAAGUUGUCCAGGGACUGAAGUGUCCAAUCCUUCCUUGCCUAUCCCUAGUUUCUGGUGGUUCCUGGCAAUCCUGGUGUUCCUUGGCUUGCAGCUGGCUCCCCACAAUAUCUGCCUCCAUUUUACAUGGCCUUCCCUCUGUUUCUCUGUGUGCCCUCUCUUAUAAAAACAGCAGUCAUUGGAUUUAAGGUCCACCAUAAUCCAGCAUGACUUUAUUUUAAGUUAAUUACAUUUGCAGAAACCCUGUUUCCAAACAUGUCACAUUCUAAAGUUCUGGAUAGACAUGCAUUUUGAGGGAGAUGCUAUUCAACCCCCUAUACUAAAACUCUUUUUCUGUGGAAGAGAAAGAGGCAGGGAGAGUAACUUGUCCAGAUCACUGUUAAGUGGUUGAGCUGAGCUUUCAUGUGUACUCAUUAGCCAAAGUGUCUUCCUUCUUCCCCUCUGCCCUCUUCCCUCUUUCCUUUCAUCGCCUAUUUUCUUAUCCAAGGAUGCCCUGGAUAUUAGUUUACCUUCAUUUGAAUGGAGAAAAAUGCCCAUUGUUAACUGUUAACUGUUGGGGUGAGGGGAUGGGAAGGUGUUCAGUGGAAGGUCUCUCAAUCUCCUUGAGAGUUAGUUUACUUUUUUUGCAAAAAUGGAGAAAAUGAAACUUGUCUCAUUUGGUGGUUGCAUGUAUUAUUAAAUCACAUACAACCGAUCACAAAAUCAAUGUGUAAGAAAGUGUCUGGGAAAAUCUUCCAAGGCAUACAGCCCUGAGGGACUUUUGUAGAAAAUCAUUUAGAAAGUAAGGCAUCCAUUACUCACCUAGGGUAUUAAUUAAUUUGUAUUCUUGAAAUUCUUUUUUUUUUUUUUUGAGAUGGAGUCUUGCUCUGUUGCUUAGGCUGGAGUGCAGUGGCGCGAUCUUGGCUCACUGCAACUUCCGUGCCCUGGGCUCAACCAAUUCUCCUGCCUCAGCCUCCCAAGUAACUGGGACUACAGGCACAUGCCACCACACCUGGCUAAUUUUUGUAUUUUUAGUAGAGACGGUUUCACCAUGUUGCCUAGGCUGGUCUCGAACUCCUGACCUCAACUGAUCUGGCCUUGGCUUCCCAACGUGCUGGGAUUAUAGGCAUGAGCCACCAUGCCCGGCCUGUAUUUUUGAAUUUCUACAUUGUUGACAUGCCUUGAAGUCUUAGACGAUGAGCAAGAAACAGAAAUCAUGUAGCACAUAUAUUCAACAUUCCCACGUAAUUUUAGGUUUCUAUUUGGUCUCUUUCAAGCGGUAAGUAAUUUACUUUGAUCUUCUCUGCUAGGUUAUAACAAAAGUUGACAUUGUAGCUCUGCCACUCACUAGAAAUAUCAUCUUGUUUAUGUUAUUUAACUUUAUGACCUCUAAUUGUGAAGGUUAAAGGAAAGAGCACAUAUAAAAGCUCCUGGUACAUUAUGGUUAGUCAGGAAGUAAAAGUUUUUUUUUUAAAUUGCAUUGUUAUUAUUAUUACUGUUAUUAUUAAUAUCAUUGGUAUGCAAGACACUGAGUUAUACAUAUUUGACUUGUGAACAUAUUUGUUAUUUUAAAAAUUGAAAUAAUUUGUCUUAAAAAAGUUACAAAAAUAGUACAGACAAUUCCCAUAUAUUUCGUCACCCAGCUUCCCCUACUGUUUAACAUCUUACAUAAGCACAGUAUGAUGAUCAACACUGGGAAAUUAACAUUGCUACAAUACUAUUAAGUAAACUAUAGAUUUGACUUGAAUUUGCAGGUUUUCCCAUUAACGGUUUUUUCUGAUCCAGGAUCCAAACCUUGAUCUCCAAUUGAACUUAGUUAUGAGAAGGAGACAAACUUAGUCUUUUAUAACUUAGUUUUUCCUUGUCUUUCAUGAUUUUGACACUUCUGAGGAAAGCUGGUCAGUAACCUUGUAGAAUGCCCUCCAAUUUGGCUUUGUCUGUAUUUUCUCUGAUUAAAUUGAGAUAAUACAAUUUUGGCAAGAAUACCUCAGAAGUAAUGUUGUGUCCUUUCUCAUACACCAUAUCCAGAAGUACACAAUGCUAGUAUAUAUUAUUACUGGUGAAAUUAACAUUGAUCUCUGGGUUAAAGUGGUGUCUUCCAGGUUUCUCCACUAAAUUACCAUUUUUCCCUCAGUGACUAACAGAUAUCUUGGGGAAAUACUUUAAAACUACGCAAAUAUUGCCAGGCGUGGUGGCGUAUGCCUGUAAUCCUAGCACUGUGGGAGGCCAAGGUGGGCGGAUCACUUGAGGUCAGGAGUUCGAGACCAGCCUGGCCAACAUGGUGAAACCUUGUCUCUACCAAAAAGUGGUGGUGUGCGCCUAUAAUCCCAGCUACUUGGGAGGCUGAGGCAGGAGAAUAGCUUGAACCCAGGAGGAGGAGGUUGCAGUGAGCCGAGAUCCUGCCAUUGCACUCUAGCCUGGGGGAUAAGAGCAAAACUCUGUCUCAAAACAAAAACAAAAACAAAACUAUGCAAAUAUCCUGUUUCUUGUACCUUCACCCACUAGUUUUAGCAUCUAUGGAUGAUUCUUGCCUGCCACAAUUAUUACUAUGGCAUUUGCCUAUUAGUGAUUUUCUGUUUCCUUCAUUUCUUCUCUAUUAAUAGGAAUUCUUCUCUAAGAGAGAGUUAUUCUCCUCCCUCAUUUAUUUUUUUAUAUCAAUAUGGGCUGAUGAAUAUUUAUUUUAUUUUAUGGGUUAUAAUCGAACACUGUCAUUAUUUAUUUUGUUGCUCCAGUGGUUCCAGCUCUGGGCAUUAGGAGCUUAAACAGGUUGGCUCCUGUAUCCUUUCAACAUGCCUCAUUAUUUUUAGUGCUUUCUUGCUUUUUGAUGCUUACUUUUUAAUCUAGGCUCAUCUUGUACUUUCUUUGCCCCAACCAUGGAAUUGAUCUUUUCUCCAAAGAACUCUGAUUCCUUUUAUUGGAAAAUGGACUUAGGAACCAAGAUCUUGGCAUUGAGUAGUCUCAUUGCUACUGGGGUUUCAUUGCUUCUGCGUCCUCUCAGUGGACAGAGUUUGGAAAUAUAUGCAGGUAUGCUAACACACAUACAUAUGUUUAUAUUUGUAAAUUAUAAAAUUGUAUAAUUUUAAAUUUCUGUAUUAUAAAAUUAUACAUAUGUUAUAAAUCUAUGUUUAUUUCAACAUAUAUCUGUAUAACUAUUAAGGACCACAAUGAAUACAUUCAAAGGUAAAUGUGUGAAUAUCUCUAAGGCAUACUUCUACUUAUCUCCUAAUAAUAAAGAGAGUAGGUCCAUUACACUAUUGCAGAGUCAUUAGUACUUGUUUACUUUCAAGUUUUAUGUUGUAAUUCAGAUAGCUGAGGUUGUCAGAGAAGAGACCUAGCCUUAUGUAAUUCUGGAACCAGAAAAAGAAAUCAUGGAACUAUCCAAUUCAUGUUUCCUAAACUGGUGUUCCAUGGAAUACUAUUUUAGGAGUUGUUAAUAGCAUUAUCCUGAUCAAAGGGUUUUGCGGUUCCAUAAGUUUGGGAAACAGCAUUGUAGAUCCUCCACACUUGUGUGACACUGCCAAUGGAUUAUUUUAUUUAUAUGUUUAUUUAUUUUUAGGGAUGGGGUCUUGCCAGGUUGCCCAGGCUGGCCUCAAACUCCUGGGCCCAAGCAGUCCUCCCACUUCAGUCUCCUGAGUUGCGAGAUUACAGGUGUGAGACACCAUGCCCAGCAUGCCUAUGGAUUAUUAAAGGAGUUUUUAAAAAUUUGUUUUCCAGGCUGGGUGCAGUGGCUCACAG
Molecule: long non-coding RNA, 8304 nt
Filed under: Homo sapiens (human)
Lineage: Eukaryota; Metazoa; Chordata; Mammalia; Primates; Hominidae
Description: non-protein coding lnc-WDYHV1-1:2
Source: RNAcentral